This is a long non-coding RNA of Capsicum annuum, 2193 nucleotides long. RefSeq lists it as uncharacterized. Lineage: Eukaryota; Viridiplantae; Streptophyta; Magnoliopsida; Solanales; Solanaceae. The transcript has 3 exons. The record is from RefSeq and is a predicted model, not a curated record.
AUAUUUUACUCGGUCCAAAAAAAAAAUCUUCUGCUCGCUCCUGUACUUUUCCAGAGACACUACGCAUAUCUAGAAACAUCCAUUAUCACCAUCUCUCCUGCAUAAUUUCAAAGUUUCAGGGUGUUCUUUCAAUUUUAUUCACCAUCAGUGAACUAUUUUGAUUCCCUUCAUCUUUACAGCAGAUUAGAAUUGCAGGUUUGUUCAUAUCUCAAUUUUUGCUCAAUCCUUUUAUUCUUUUUCAGUCAUUGCCUUUUUGGGGUUCUUUCCAUAUUGGGUGAUCGAGAGUACAUUCAAAGAGACAGAAACAAAAGUUAUAUUUUUGUUUCAAGAAGUUGUAUAACUACGUCGAAUCGUCCUCUCCUUCGGUACUAUCUGCAAUUGUUCAUCUUCUAGCCUCUGUUGCGUUUAUUACAUUCAAAUUGAUUACAAGCUUGUAUCAUGUAUGGGUAUCUCAAUGACGCAAGAGCUUCUUUUGUGGUGCAGUGCUACCACUUUUUGGCAUCAAUUGGCAGAGUGUCGUGGCAGUUACUUUCAUAUUUGGGAUAUUACACUAGGAAAGUGGUCGAAAAUACUCCUUUGCUGCUUGGUAUUUGUUGACGCGGGAGCUUCUUUUGUGGUGCACUGCUACCACUUUUUGGCAUCAAUUGGCAGAGUGUUGUGGCAGUUACUUUCAUAUUUGGGAUAUUACACUUGGAAAGUGGUCGGAAAUACUCCUUUGCUGCCUGCGCACCCCCAUAUGCUCAUUACAUCCUCAAAGUACUGAUCCACAUAUACGUCUAUGUGCUACAUUGUCUCAUAAUGUAGGUACAAGAUUUAGUAUGCACAUUCAGACUCGGACAGUUGCAGAUUCCAAUCAGCGAGAUGACGAGCCCUCCUAUUUCGGGGACUUCAGUUAGAUUUACUAUUGUUCUUUACUUUCUUAUUCUUAUGUAUUGAUUAGUGGUAACUGGGGUCGCGUUCUAGCUGUCUAUAGUCAGUAUAGUAGAGGCUUCACAGAUGUCAGUAAGAGUCAGUUAUGUAAACUUCAGUUUUCAGUUUUUUUGUUUUGUAUAAGCAGAGUUGUAAUCUUGAAAAUUCAGUUUUGUAUUGAUCAAGUUCAGAAAAGUUUUAUGUUUCCGUUGAUUUUAUUCAGAUUUAUAUAUUUUAUUCAGUUGCUUGUAAGUAUGCCAGUAGAAGGGUUAGCCUGGGAUCACUUGUGAGUCUAAGCACCGUGUGACGUCUCGGGAUCCAUUUUCGGGGCAUUACAGGUUCUAUGCUAAACUUAAGGUUUAGGCGAAGAAUAUAAGAAUUGACAAUUUGGAUAGUGCUAGAACCUAGUGUCUGGUGAUGUUCUUAAUUUUCUAUUAUAACUUGGGCUUUACACCAAGUUAACUCAAGGAAGGAUGUACACCACUCCCGGUAGAGACAGGAUGAUCUUGGAUAUGGAAAGGGAACAUAGUUCUAAAUAAAGAUAAUUUAUUGCUUAAAUACCUUUGGUACAGAACUGCUUUUACCAAGCUACUGCCUAAAAUAUUUCAUGGACAAGCUAUCAAUUUAAGCUAAGCGUAUCUGCAAAAAAUAUAGAGCUUGUUUGGAUUGACUUCUGACUUUUGGCAAGACAUAAGUUAGAAUAAGCCAAUUCAUAGAAGUGCUUUAAGUCAUUUGGCUUAAAAGCACUUAAAAUAAGCCAAUCCAAACAGGUUAGCUGUACUUUGAUAGAAAUAUUUAUAACAAAUACCUUCAACCAUUAUUUGUUUCAGGGUGUUUGACCAUCUCCGAUAUGAUUAUGAUUUCUUGUUUCUCUAAUCAACAUCCAUUUAGGUGAAAAAGGCAAUAUACUAUAUAUGCUCUUUCUUUUACUGCUUCUGUUUACUAGCACAGUUGAUUAUCACAAAUAUCCACUUUUAUGUCCCUCUAAGUACAAAGGUAGCUGCUUUUUAAAGAGUACUGAGCCUAAAUGAGGUGUUCUAUUUGAUUGAUCUGAAAAAUGACCGAGAGAGGGGUAAAGCGUGCAAGUACUUGAAUAUGUGUGUUGCGGUGAUGGUCUGCUUCAUUGUGGGUUAUAAUUUACAUAAUUGCAUUGAGAAAAUCCAACCCAUAUCUUGGCAUCCAUAUGCAAACAGGUGUCUUGCAGACAUGUCAUGUGUUGCUUUUGCUUUGCAUGUUCAUACACAGCAAAAUCUACAGCCUAAACGUAGGCUCAAAAUGAGACAA